AACGAACGCUGGCGGCAUGCCUAACACAUGCAAGUCGAACGAAGUCUUCGGACUUAGUGGCGCACGGGUGCGUAACGCGUGGGAAUCUGCCCUUGGGUGCGGAAUAACUUCUCGAAAGGGAUGCUAAUACCGCAUAAUGUCGUAAGACCAAAGAUUUAUCGCCCAAGGAUGAGCCCGCGUAAGAUUAGCUAGUUGGUGGGGUAAAAGCCUACCAAGGCGACGAUCUUUAGCUGGUCUGAGAGGAUGAUCAGCCACACUGGGACUGAGACACGGCCCAGACUCCUACGGGAGGCAGCAGUGGGGAAUAUUGGACAAUGGGCGAAAGCCUGAUCCAGCAAUGCCGCGUGAGUGAUGAAGGCCCUAGGGUUGUAAAGACUCUUUACCAGGAUGAUAAUGACAGUACCU
This 405-nucleotide ribosomal RNA is filed under the name uncultured bacterium. RNAcentral describes it as "bacterial SSU rRNA". It matches the Rfam family "Bacterial small subunit ribosomal RNA", at positions 29 to 460 of the family's 1533-position model. The record is from RNAcentral.